RNAcentral lists this unclassified non-coding RNA (536 nucleotides) under Hevea brasiliensis (rubber tree). The record is from RNAcentral. Lineage: Eukaryota; Viridiplantae; Streptophyta; Magnoliopsida; Malpighiales; Euphorbiaceae.
AAAUUACUGAUAGUGGACUUGCAGCCCUAACUAGUUUGACAGGAUUGACCCAUCUGGACCUCUUUGGAGCUCGUAUUACGGAUUUUGGAACAAACUAUUUGCGAAAUUUCAAAAAUCUUCAGUCUUUGGAAAUAUGUGGUGGAGGAUUAACUGAUGCUGGCGUAAGGAACAUUAAAGAUCUUUCAUCCCUGUUGCUGCUAAAUUUGUCACAAAACUGCAAUCUAACAAAUAAAUCAUUGGAAUUGAUUUCUGGGUUGACAGGAUUGGUCUCGUUGAACGUCUCAAAUUCCCGUGUGACCAGUGCAGGGUUGCAGCAUUUGAAGCCACUGAAAAAUUUAAGAUCAUUGACCUUGGAGUCAUGCAAGGUGACAGCUAAUGACAUUAAGAAGCUUCAGUCAACUUACCUCUCUCAACUGGUGAGCUACCGGCCUGAGUAGUAGUUGACGUGGGGGCAGGGGGAAGGAGAAGGAUAUGGAACACGCUGCAAAUAGGUUGUGUUUGAAAGAGUGAAGGUGCUGGUGUUUUAAAUGAAGAUA